GACGUAGGGCGCGAGCGUUGUCCGGAUUUAUUGGGCGUACAGAGCGUGUAGGCGGCCAGGUAGGUCUGCUGUGAAAACUCGAGGCUCAACCUCGAGACGUCGGCGGAAACCAUCUGGCUAGAGUCCGGAAGAGGAGAGUGGAAUUCCUGGUGUAGCGGUGAAAUGCGCAGAUAUCAGGAAGAACACCCGUGGCGAAGGCGGCUCUCUGGGACGGUACUGACGCUGAGACGCGAAAGCGUGGGGAGCGAACAGG
RNAcentral lists this ribosomal RNA (253 nucleotides) under uncultured bacterium. RNAcentral's name for it is "partial 16S ribosomal RNA". It matches the Rfam family "Bacterial small subunit ribosomal RNA", at positions 524 to 776 of the family's 1533-position model. The record is from RNAcentral.